CGGGGUGCAGCAGGCGCGAAAACUUUACAAUGCCGGCAACGGCGAUAGGGGGACCUCGAGUGCCAGGUUACAAAUCUGGCUGUCGAGAUGCCUAAAAAGCAUUUCAUAGCAAGGGCCGGGCAAGACCGGUGCCAGCCGCCGCGGUAACACCGGCGGCUCGAGUGGUAACCGUUAUUAUUGGGUCUAAAGGGUCUGUAGCCGGCCGGAUAAGUCUCUUGGGAAAUCCAGCAGCUCAACUGUUGGGCUUUCAGGAGAUACUGUCUGGCUCGAGGCCGGGAGAGGUGAGAGGUACUUCAGGGGUAGGGGUGAAAUCUUGUAAUCCUUGAAGGACCACCAGUGGCGAAGGCGUCUCACCAGAACGGACCUGACGGCAAGGGACGAAAGCUAGGGGCACGAACCGGAUUAGAUACCCGGGUAGUCCUAGCCGUAAACGAUACUCGCUAGGUGUCGGCCACGGUGCGACCGUUGUCGGUGCCGUAGGGAAGCCGUGAAGCGAGCCACCUGGGAAGUACGGCCGCAAGGCUGAAACUUAAAGGAAUUGGCGGGGGAGCAC
RNAcentral lists this ribosomal RNA (553 nucleotides) under uncultured archaeon. RNAcentral describes it as "bacterial SSU rRNA". It matches the Rfam family "Archaeal small subunit ribosomal RNA", at positions 326 to 879 of the family's 1478-position model. The record is from RNAcentral.